RNAcentral lists this ribosomal RNA (391 nucleotides) under uncultured bacterium. Its description in RNAcentral is "bacterial SSU rRNA". It matches the Rfam family "Bacterial small subunit ribosomal RNA", at positions 28 to 413 of the family's 1533-position model. The record is from RNAcentral.
GACGAACGCUGGCGGCGCGCUUAACACAUGCAAGUCGAGCGAGAACCAGCCCUUCGGGGCUGGGGAAAGCGGCGAACGGGUGAGUAACACGUGGGUAAUCUGCCCUCGGCACCGGAAUAGCCCGGGGAAACCCGGAUUAAUGCCGGAUGGCCUCUCGAGCUCUCGAGCUCGUGAGAAAAGGUAGCUUCGGCCUCCGGCCGAGGAUGAGCCCGCGGUCGAUUAGCUUGUUGGUGAGGUAAUGGCNCACCAAGGCGACGAUCGAUAGCUGGUCUGAGAGGACGAUCAGCCACACUGGGACUGAGACACGGCCCAGACUCCUACGGGAGGCAGCAGUGGGGAAUCUUGCGCAAUGGGCGGAAGCCUGACGCAGCAACGCCGCGUGGGGAUGACG